RNAcentral lists this ribosomal RNA (253 nucleotides) under uncultured prokaryote. RNAcentral describes it as "partial 16S ribosomal RNA". It matches the Rfam family "Bacterial small subunit ribosomal RNA", at positions 524 to 776 of the family's 1533-position model. The record is from RNAcentral.
UACAGAGGGUGCGAGCGUUAAUCGGAAUUACUGGGCGUAAAGCGUGCGUAGACGGUUUCGUAAGUCGGGUGUGAAAUCCCCGGGCUCAACCUGGGAAUUGCAUUCGAAACUGCGAGGCUAGGGUACGGAAGAGGGAAGCGGAAUUUCUGGUGUAGCGGUGAAAUGCGUAGAUAUCAGAAGGAACAUCAGUGGCGAAAGCGGCGCACUGGACCACAACUGACGCUGAGGCGCGAAAGCUAGGGGAGCAAACAGG